GGGAUAGGCUGAGUGAACAGCAGGAGGAAACGCAGUAAAUAAAUCAUCUGGUGGCAAAGAAAAAAGGGGAAGCGCACACACAUAGGCAGAGGGAGAGGACGGAGAGAGAGCCCUUCCGAAGACUGGUGGAAAUAUGGUUUGAGUUAUCAUCAACGCCUGCAGCUAUGUGGCGGCAAAAAUCCGGGACUGCUGCCACUGCUGUAAAGAUGAGGGACAGCUGCAAGAACCUUCAUGCCAACCAAAAGACACAGAAGUAAGCAGUUGACGUGCCCCUCCCAGAAUGGCAGAGUCAUCCCAAGUAUGUAACCUUCCAAAGCCGGAACGGCCCAUCGGGACAUGAGGAUAAGAGCCCUCCUGGAGCCCAGCCUCCGUGAUCGGUUGCUGAGCUUCUGCCAGGAGCCCAGCCAGCAACUGUUCUGCCUGAAGAAGCCAAGACACAAAACCUGGAGAAGAACCCUCUCUGCCAUCAUCACAGACUUUCAUGAGGACAGAUUUGCAAACUCCCCGCCGAGGGGAGCAGAAUGUGUCUGAAGCUGCCUGUCUGUGAUUGCCAGAGAAAUAGGCCUUAAGAUGAUGAAUCAGAAGAGAAAGCAAGCAGCUUUUCAUUUAUUAAAAGAGCUAUGACAUUUUA
This is a long non-coding RNA of Varanus komodoensis (Komodo dragon), 631 nucleotides long. RefSeq lists it as uncharacterized. Lineage: Eukaryota; Metazoa; Chordata; Lepidosauria; Squamata; Varanidae. The transcript is spliced from 3 exons. The record is from RefSeq and is a predicted model, not a curated record.